GACGAACGCUGGCGGCGCGCCUAACACAUGCAAGUCGAACGGAGCUGAGAGAAGCUUGCUUUUCUUAGCUUAGUGGCGAACGGGUGAGUAACGCGUGAGUAACCUGCCCUGGAGUGGGGGACAACAGUUGGAAACGACUGCUAAUACCGCAUAAGCCCACGAUCCGGCAUCGGAUUGAGGGAAAAGGAUUUAUUCGCUUCAGGAUGGACUCGCGUCCAAUUAGCUAGUUGGUGAGGUAACGGCCCACCAAGGCGACGAUUGGUAGCCGGACUGGGAGGUUGACACGCUACAUCGGGAAUGAGACACGGACCCGUCCCCUACGCGAGGGAGCAGUAGGGGAUACUGCACACUGGGGCAAACCCCAACGAAGCGGCGCGGGGUGGAGGAAGAAGCUUUUCGUAUUGCACAUUCCUGUCGUUAGGGACGAUAAUGACGGUACUUAACAAGAAAGCACCGGCUAACUACGUG
RNAcentral lists this ribosomal RNA (468 nucleotides) under uncultured bacterium. Its description in RNAcentral is "partial 16S ribosomal RNA". It matches the Rfam family "Bacterial small subunit ribosomal RNA", at positions 28 to 507 of the family's 1533-position model. The record is from RNAcentral.